UAGGUAAGCCCGCUGGUGGGUGUUUAGUUGUUAACUAAAAUAUUUCGGGAUCGAGGCCCGAUAAUCUAG
This 69-nucleotide transfer RNA is filed under the name Cyrtopodion scabrum. Its description in RNAcentral is "tRNA-Asn". Lineage: Eukaryota; Metazoa; Chordata; Lepidosauria; Squamata; Gekkonidae. The record is from RNAcentral.